RNAcentral lists this microRNA precursor (84 nucleotides) under Microtus ochrogaster (prairie vole). Its description in RNAcentral is "miRNA (ENSMOCG00000004050.1)". Lineage: Eukaryota; Metazoa; Chordata; Mammalia; Rodentia; Cricetidae. The record is from RNAcentral.
AUAUUUAUGUAUACUUGUGUGUGUAUGCAUAUGUGUGUGAUACAAAUAUAAAAGAUUAUGUUAUAUAUCAUUUAUAUAUGCUGC